UGCCCAGCAAAUCCUAUCCCUACCUCCUCGUGGUACUGGCCGGGGCUUCUAUUAUGAUAUUACUGGAAUAUUAGA
RNAcentral lists this ribozyme (75 nucleotides) under Aedes aegypti (yellow fever mosquito). RNAcentral's name for it is "drz-agam-1 ribozyme". It matches the Rfam family "drz-agam-1 ribozyme". The record is from Rfam by way of RNAcentral. Lineage: Eukaryota; Metazoa; Arthropoda; Insecta; Diptera; Culicidae.